GAGAGUGUAGCUCAGUAGUAGAGUGCCUGCUUAGCAUGCGUGAGCCCCUGGGUUCAAUCCCCAGCACCUCCA
Molecule: transfer RNA, 72 nt
Filed under: Camelus bactrianus (Bactrian camel)
Lineage: Eukaryota; Metazoa; Chordata; Mammalia; Artiodactyla; Camelidae
Also listed under: 2 other names
Rfam family: tRNA
About the family: Transfer RNA (tRNA) molecules are approximately 80 nucleotides in length. Their secondary structure includes four short double-helical elements and three loops (D, anti-codon, and T loops).
Source: Rfam by way of RNAcentral